RNAcentral lists this ribosomal RNA (429 nucleotides) under Gemmatimonadota bacterium. RNAcentral's name for it is "Gemmatimonadetes bacterium partial 16S ribosomal RNA". It matches the Rfam family "Bacterial small subunit ribosomal RNA", at positions 355 to 776 of the family's 1533-position model. Lineage: Bacteria; Pseudomonadati; Gemmatimonadota. The record is from RNAcentral.
UAGGGAAUCUUCGGCAAUGGACGAAAGUCUGACCGAGCAACGCCGCGUGAGUGAAGAAGGUUUUCGGAUCGUAAAACUCUGUUGUUAGAGAAGAACAAGGACGUUAGUAACUGAACGUCCCCUGACGGUAUCUAACCAGAAAGCCACGGCUAACUACGUGCCAGCAGCCGCGGUAAUACGUAGGUGGCAAGCGUUGUCCGGAUUUAUUGGGCGUAAAGCGAGCGCAGGCGGUUUCUUAAGUCUGAUGUGAAAGCCCCCGGCUCAACCGGGGAGGGGCAUUGGAAACUGGGAGACUUGAGUGCAGAAGAGGAGAGUGGAAUUCCAUGUGUAGCGGUGAAAUGCGUAGAUAUAUGGAGGAACACCAGUGGCGAAGGCGGCUCUCUGGUCUGUAACUGACGCUGAGGCUAGAAAGCGUGGGGAGCAAACAGG